CCUACGGGUGGCAGCAGUGAGGAAUAUUGGUCAAUGGACGCAAGUCUGAACCAGCCAAGUCGCGUGAAGGAUGACUGCCCUAUGGGUUGUAAACUUCUUUUAUAAGGGAGUAAACCGCGGUACGUGUGCCUUUUUGCAUGUACCUUAUGAAUAAGGAUCGGCUAACUCCGUGCCAGCAGCCGCGGUAAUACGGAGGGGGCAAGCGUUGUUCGGAAUGACUGGGGGUAAAGGGUGGGUAGGCGGUGUAGUAAGUUAGAAGGGGAAUAACUGGGGCUUAACACAGGUACUGCUUCUAAAAUUGCUGUACUUGAGUGCAGUAGAGGAAAGCGGAAUGCGUGGUGUAGCGGUGAAAUGCGUAGAUAUCAGGCAGAACAUCGAUGGCGAAGGCAGCUUACUGGACUGUAACUGACGCUGAGGCACGAAAGUGUGGGGAGCAAACAGGAUUAGAUACCCCAGUAGUC
Molecule: ribosomal RNA, 461 nt
Filed under: uncultured bacterium
Lineage: Bacteria
Description: partial 16S ribosomal RNA
Rfam family: Bacterial small subunit ribosomal RNA
Source: RNAcentral